Molecule: ribosomal RNA, 392 nt
Filed under: uncultured bacterium
Lineage: Bacteria
Description: bacterial SSU rRNA
Rfam family: Bacterial small subunit ribosomal RNA
Source: RNAcentral
GACAGAGGUGGCAAGCGUUGUUCGGAAUUACUGGGCUUAAAGGGCGCGUAGGGGGUGGCGUAAGUCCGGGGUGGAAGGCUGAGGCUUAACCUCAGGAUUGCCCUGGAAACUGCAUCACUUGAGUCAGCAAGGGGAUGGCGGAAUUCCUGGUGUAGCGGUGAAAUGCGUAGAUAUCAGGAGGAAGGCCGGUGGCGAAGGCGGCCAUCUGGUGCUGAACUGACGCUGAGGCGCGAAAGCGUGGGGAGCAAACAGGAUUAGAUACCCUGGUAGUCCACGCCCUAAACGGUGGAUACUAGGUGUGGGGCUCGUAAGGGUUCCGUGCCGAAGGGAAACCAUUAAGUAUCCCGCCUGGGGAGUACGGCCGCAAGGUUGAAACUUAAAUGAAUUGACGG